Molecule: long non-coding RNA, 1202 nt
Organism: Salarias fasciatus (jewelled blenny)
Lineage: Eukaryota; Metazoa; Chordata; Actinopteri; Blenniiformes; Blenniidae
Exons: 3
Source: RefSeq, a predicted model, not a curated record
ACACACACACACUGGAAGAACUGUGGAAAAAACACUGGAGUGAAUUUAACCUGGAACCCUAAAAUAACAAGGAAAAAGACACAAAAAGACGCCCUUCCCAAAUGUGAACCAGCAAACCUGAGAACAAUUGUGCUCAGCCAGGAGACGCAGCCUCCCCGCCGCCCACCUCCAGCUUCAUUUUCGGACUGUGGAAAAAAAAAACCCUCAGUGACUCGGCUGGCGUUUAGCCCUCGUUGACCUUGUGACUUUCCUCGAUCAACUGGUUCCUGUUUUUUAUCAUGUGGGUUUUUUGGACUGUAAGGUGUAGAUGUUGCUCUCUUUUUCUCUCUUUCCUCACCGAAUCAUUCCCAGUUUCAUAUUUGAUCUACUUGAUGUUUGAUUACUUGAAGGGCAGUGUUCAGUCGCCUACAUUUUUCUACCAGUCAGUGUAAAAUGAAGGUUGAGGGGAAGAAGACUAUGUGUCCGGGUGGUUGUGAAAUAUGUUUGUGUAAAUCUUUUUUAAAGGUGAGGACGAUGAUGUACAGGGGCAACAUUUUGAUUAAAAAAAGGAUUGUCGUCAUGGACUUUGGACAUUUUAACAGGUUUUGAAGCUGGAAAUACUUCCUGCAAAUAUGAGAAAUACCUAGAUCCAGGAUACUUUUCUUUCUUUGUUUCCGUUUGUUUUGCCGAAAGAUGUCCACCUGCAUUUCCUCAAAAUGUUGCUGUUGUGCCAUCUCCUGCAAGGAAAUCUCAAAAAACCAUUUGGGGGUUGUGUCCAUUCCUCAGCCAUACGACAGGCAUUUUUUACGCUGUUUGUUGCACAAAACUUUUCAAGAAGCCUUCUGCACUGUGUAAAGAGAUAACGUUCUUAGUAGGGGAGGAAACAAAGGGGAGAGGGAGGGGUGGGGGUGUCCCAGUGGUACAGUCCAAUGGUUUUGAAUCAUGACUUGUAAAUAGUGCGUUUUCAUACUGCAAAAAAACUUUUUGAUAAUGUUUUAAAUGUACCUUGUAAAGAGAAAAAAAAAGAUGUACAUAAACUUCUGGGGUAAAAAGGAGUGUAGACUAUAUAUGAAUUUAUUUGUACACAAGAACACUGGAUUUCUUUACUACUUGAUUGUAACUAAAAAUUAAUAAUCUGCCAAAGUGUUUCUAUUUUACUUUCCCUCUGUCUGUUUCAUUAGAUUGUUUCCAUUUUUGUUUUUACUUUGUUAAUAGCAGAUUUU